This 463-nucleotide ribosomal RNA is filed under the name uncultured bacterium. RNAcentral's name for it is "bacterial SSU rRNA". It matches the Rfam family "Bacterial small subunit ribosomal RNA", at positions 338 to 795 of the family's 1533-position model. The record is from RNAcentral.
CCUACGGGUGGCAGCAGUCGAGAAUUUUUCUCAAUGGGCGAAAGCCUGAAGGAGCGACGCCGCGUGAAGGAUGAAGGUCUUCGGAUUGUAAACUUCUGUCAUUAAGGAACAAACAUUCUGUAUAACUAACAGAAAACUGAUAGUACUUAAAGAGGAAGAGACGGCUAACUCUGUGCCAGCAGCCGCGGUAAUACAGAGGUCUCAACCGUUGUUCGGAUUUAUUGGGCGUAAAGGGUGCGUAGGUGGUUUUGUAAGUCGGAUGUGAAAUUUUAGGGCUCAACCUUGGAACUGCAUUCGAUACUGCAUAGCUUGAGCGUUGGAAAGGAGACUGGAAUUUACGGUGUAGCAGUGAAAUGCGUAGAUAUCGUAAGGAAGAUCAGUGGCGAAAGCGAGUCUCUGGACAAAUGCUGACACUGAGGCACGAAGGCUAGGGGAGCAAACGGGAUUAGAUACCCGAGUAGUC